Molecule: ribosomal RNA, 244 nt
Filed under: uncultured Lactobacillus sp.
Lineage: Bacteria; Bacillati; Bacillota; Bacilli; Lactobacillales; Lactobacillaceae
Description: partial 16S ribosomal RNA
Rfam family: Bacterial small subunit ribosomal RNA
Source: RNAcentral
UGGGGAACCUGCCCCAUAGUCUGGGAUACCACUUGGAAACAGGUGCUAAUACCGGAUAAGAAAGCGGAUCGCAUGAUCAGCUUUUAAAAGGCGGCGUAAGCUGUCGCUAUGGGAUGGCCCCGCGGUGCAUUAGCUAGUUGGUAGGGUAAAGGCUUACCAAGGCGAUGAUGCAUAGCCGAGUUGAGAGACUGAUCGGCCACAUUGGGACUGAGACACGGCCAAACUCCUACGGGAGGCAGCAGAG